CUUGUUUGCUGGUAGUAACCUGUCUACUCAGUUUUGUUGAAUGCCUCUGGACUCAGAAGGACUAGGAACCCACAUUCAUUCUUCAACACGAUGUGAUUUAUCUUUCAGUUCUCCCUGAACUUUACCUUACUGUUAUAUUUAUGUUUUCCGUUGGGAUCCCCUUGAGAAGAAAAAAGAAGCAUGCCAAGGCACUGAGCUGCUUUAGGACAAUGCUCAGUGCUCUUAUUCCUGAAGACUAACGGUCUAGUCAAAUGCAGAAUGCUCUUUCGGUUUUUCCUACUUGCUCUCAGACAUGACAAUUCACCAUCAGUUUUAGAAAGCAUUUCCUAUUGUUGUUUUUGUAAUAUCAGAAAUGUAGAUUUGGGGACUUGCCCCAUUGCGGUAUUUUGGUUAUCAGUUUUUAAGUUUUCAUCAAUGAAGUACUGUUGUCCAGAACCUUGUGAAUGCUAGAUCAUGGUUCUGCACAGCAAGAUAUGCAAUAUCAGCCUGAAUCAGACGAUACAGAGCAUACUGUACCGGCCUGAACCGGG
This 530-nucleotide long non-coding RNA is filed under the name Phoenix dactylifera (date palm). Its description in RNAcentral is "long non-coding RNA (PDAC_LNC011635)". Lineage: Eukaryota; Viridiplantae; Streptophyta; Magnoliopsida; Arecales; Arecaceae. The record is from RNAcentral.